GACUAUCGAUGAUUGUGUUGA
This 21-nucleotide non-coding RNA is filed under the name Arabidopsis thaliana (thale cress). The record is from RNAcentral. Lineage: Eukaryota; Viridiplantae; Streptophyta; Magnoliopsida; Brassicales; Brassicaceae.